RNAcentral lists this long non-coding RNA (797 nucleotides) under Nicotiana benthamiana. RNAcentral's name for it is "long non-coding RNA (NBEN_LNC032736)". The record is from RNAcentral. Lineage: Eukaryota; Viridiplantae; Streptophyta; Magnoliopsida; Solanales; Solanaceae.
ACCAAUGAAUCUUGAACAAUGAAUCUCGACCAAAUUUCCGAACGAAAACAGCAAAUCCGGACUGGAACACUCGAACGGCGAUCAACAAUAGUAAACUCGAAACAAUUACAGCUCAAUCAAAUUCCAUAAUCAAAACCAAAAUUUGAAGAAAAUUAAUGAAGAAGCAGAAUUCUCUUUUUUCUGAAUUUAAAAAUGAAAACAAAAUUUGAAUCAAGAACUUGAAUCGUUCCCUGCCUCUACUUUUUUCAUUUCUGUCCGAAGCUGCCCAAAUUCCCUCAUUCUGUCGCUAUCUGUGUAUGUAUUGUGGUCGCAGGAAUUAGAGACGGAGGUGUAGAUGGGGUCGCUGGCUAAAUGGCUGGCGGCAAUGGCUAGUAACUGCUGUUGUUGUUGGGUGUUUACCGGAUUUCCGGCUAAACACGCCGGUGGAGUUGGUUUGCGGUGGCCCCUAGGGUUUUCUUGAAGAUGGGGUCGUUAGUUCUUUUGGUGGUGAGCGGCUGUGAGUUGGGGUGGUGUGUUCGUCGGUUUAGGGUCUGGCAGUGGCUGGUCCUUGGUAUUGCCCAGGUGGGGUGGGCGGCGGCUGACUUAGAUGAUGAAGAAGGUGACAGCUUCCGGGGGGUCUGGCGGCGGCGCUGGUCUUAGGGGUUCUAAGGCUUUUUCUUGUGUUCAAGGUUGAGAAGAAGAUGAAGUAGCUAGGUGUUUUGUUGUAUUGUCUUUCUAGAUGAGGAAGAAGGCAGCUACGUCUGGUGUCUCUAAGGUUAAGGUCUCCAAAUUGUAAAAUCACGCUCCCUGGUCUUUCC